GACGAACGCUGGCGGCGUGCCUAAUACAUGCAAGUCGAGCGGACGGAUGGGAGCUUGCUCCCAGACCGUCAGCGGCGGACGGGUGAGUAACACGUGGGCAACCUGCCUGUAAGACUGGGAUAACUCCGGGAAACCGGGGCUAAUACCGGAUAACUCUUUCCCUCACAUGAGGGAAAGCUGAAAGAUGGCAUCUCGCUAUCACUUACAGAUGGGCCCGCGGCGCAUUAGCUAGUUGGUGAGGUAACGGCUCACCAAGGCGACGAUGCGUAGCCGACCUGAGAGGGUGAUCGGCCACACUGGGACUGAGACACGGCCCAGACUCCUACGGGAGGGAGCAGUAGGGAAUCUUCCGCAAUGGACGAAAGUCUGACGGAGCAACGCCGCGUGAGUGAUGAAGGUUUUCGGAUCGUAAAGCUCUGUUGUCAGGGAAGAACAAGUACCGGAGUAACUGCCGCUACCUUGACGGUACCUGACCAGAAAGCCACGGCUAACUACGUG
Molecule: ribosomal RNA, 498 nt
Filed under: uncultured bacterium
Lineage: Bacteria
Description: partial 16S ribosomal RNA
Rfam family: Bacterial small subunit ribosomal RNA
Source: RNAcentral